GGCGUGAAGCGGUUCAGCAGGCAGAGGUUCUCGGACGCCCUCCGGCGAAGCCACCUGUUGAUGCUUUUGACUUUCUGUCCUUGUUCCUCGUCCCAUCUGGAGCAUUUCCAAUUCUGGUUUUGCGGAGCAGCAGGUCUGAGCUUGUCCGGCGAGGGUGGGAGUUGGUCCCGGCGGAGAUCCAGUGGGAAGAGCCGGCGGCUGCCCGGGCAACUCCCCCACUGGAAAGGAUUCUGAAAGAAAUGAAGUCAGCCCUCAGAAAUGAAGUUGACUGCCUGCUGGCUUUCUGUUGACUGGCCCGGAGCUGUACUGCAAGACCCUUGUGAGCUUCCCUAGUCUAAGAGUAGGAUGUCUGCUGAAGUCAUCCAUCAGGUUGAAGAAGCACUUGAUACAGAUGAGAAGGAGAUGCUGCUCUUUUUGUGCCGGGAUGUUGCUAUAGAUGUGGUUCCACCUAAUGUCAGGGACCUUCUGGAUAUUUUACGGGAAAGAGGUAAGCUGUCUGUCGGGGACUUGGCUGAACUGCUCUACAGAGUGAGGCGAUUUGACCUGCUCAAACGUAUCUUGAAGAUGGACAGAAAAGCUGUGGAGACCCACCUGCUCAGGAACCCUCACCUUGUUUCGGACUAUAGAGUGCUGAUGGCAGAGAUUGGUG
Molecule: long non-coding RNA, 649 nt
Filed under: Homo sapiens (human)
Lineage: Eukaryota; Metazoa; Chordata; Mammalia; Primates; Hominidae
Description: long non-coding RNA NONHSAT183404.1
Source: RNAcentral